GGACGAACGCUGGCGGCGUGCCUAACACAUGCAAGUCGAACGAAGCAUAGCAAUAUGCUUAGUGGCGGACGGGUGAGUAACGCGUGAACAAUCUGCCCUGUACAAAGGAAUAGCCUCGGGAAACCGGGAUUAAAACCGUAUGACACUUUAGUAUCGCAUGAUAAGAAAGUCAAAUCGAUUAGAGGUAUGGGAUGAGUUCGCGUCUGAUUAGCUGGUUGGCGGGGUAACGGCCCACCAAGGCGACGAUCAGUAGCCGGCCUGAGAGGGUGAACGGUCACACUGGAACUGAGACACGGUCCAGACUCCUACGGGAGGCAGCAGUGGGGAAUAUUGCACAAUGGAGGGAACUCUGAUGCAGCGACGCCGCGUGAGUGAAGAAGGUCUUCGGAUCGUAAAACUCUGUCCUUGGUGAAGAAAAGGACGGUAGCCAAGGAGGAAGCCCCGGCUAACUACGUGCCAGCAGCCGCGGUAAUACGUAGGGGGCGAGCGUUGUCCGGAUUUACUGGGCGUAAAGGGUGAGUAGGCGGUUAUAUAUGUCAGGUGUAAAAAGCUAUGGCUUAACCAUAGUAAGCACUUGAAACUGUAUGACUUGAGUGCAGGAGAGGUAAGCGGAAUUCCUAGUGUAGCGGUGAAAUGCGUAGAUAUUAGGAGGAACACCGGUGGCGAAGGCGGCUUACUGGACUGUAACUGACGCUGAGUCACGAAAGCGUGGGUAGCAAACAGGAUUAGAUACCCUGGUAGUCCACGCUGUAAACGAUGAGUGCUAGGUGUUGGGUAGCGAUAUUCAGUGCCGGAGUAAACACAAUAAGCACUCCGCCUGGGGAGUACGGUCGCAAGACUGAAACUCAAAGGAAUUGACGGGGACCGCACAAGCAGCGGAGCAUGUGGUUUAAUUCGAAGCAACGCGAAGAACCUUACCAAGGCUUGACAUCCCCUUGACAGAUGCAGAGAUGUAUCCUCCCCUUCGGGGGCAAGGGAGACAGGUGGUGCAUGGUUGUCGUCAGCUCGUGUCGUGAGAUGUUGGGUUAAGUCCCGCAACGAGCGCAACCCUUAUCCUUAGUUGCCAGCAUUUAAGGUGGGCACUCUAAGGAGACUGCCGGUGAUAAACCGGAGGAAGGUGGGGAUGACGUCAAAUCAUCAUGCCCCUUAUGUCUUGGGCUACACACGUGCUACAAUGGUCGGUACAACGGGCAGCUAUGGAGCGAUCCGGAGCAAAUCCCAAUAAACCGAUCCCAGUUCGGAUUGCAGGCUGCAACUCGCCUGCAUGAAGUCGGAGUUGCUAGUAAUCGCGAAUCAGAACGUCGCGGUGAAUGCGUUCCCGGGUCU
Molecule: ribosomal RNA, 1326 nt
Filed under: uncultured bacterium
Lineage: Bacteria
Description: bacterial SSU rRNA
Rfam family: Bacterial small subunit ribosomal RNA
Source: RNAcentral